This 749-nucleotide ribosomal RNA is filed under the name uncultured cyanobacterium. Its description in RNAcentral is "bacterial SSU rRNA". It matches the Rfam family "Bacterial small subunit ribosomal RNA", at positions 8 to 796 of the family's 1533-position model. The record is from RNAcentral. Lineage: Bacteria; Bacillati; Cyanobacteriota.
AGAGUUUGAUCCUGGCUCAGGAUGAACGCUGGCGGUAUGCUUAACACAUGCAAGUCGAACGAAGUGCUUCGGCACUUAGUGGCGGACGGGUGAGUAACGCGUGAGAAUCUGCCAAAAGGACUGGGACAACAGCUGGAAACGGCUGCUAAUACCGGAUAUGCCAGAAAGUGAAAUGGGUAAAACCGCCUUUUGAUGAGCUCGCGUCCGAUUAGCUAGUUGGUGGGGUAAAAGCCUACCAAGGCGACGAUCGGUAACUGGUCUGAGAGGAUGACCAGUCACACUGGGACUGAGACACGGCCCAGACUCCUACGGGAGGCAGCAGUGGGGAAUUUUCCGCAAUGGGCGAAAGCCUGACGGAGCAAUACCGCGUGAGGGAGGAAGGCUCUUGGGUUGUAAACCUCUUUUCUCAGGGAAGAACACAAUGACGGUACCUGAGGAAUCAGCAUCGGCUAACUCCGUGCCAGCAGCCGCGGUAAUACGGAGGAUGCAAGCGUUAUCCGGAAUGAUUGGGCGUAAAGCGUCCGCAGGUGGCUUUGCAAGUCUGCUGUCAAAGCUCAGGGCUUAACCCUGAAUCGGCGGUGGAAACUGAAAGGCUAGAGUGUGGUAGGGGCAGAGGGAAUUCCCAGUGUAGCGGUGAAAUGCGUAGAGAUUGGGAAGAACACCAGUGGCGAAAGCGCUCUGCUAGACCGCAACUGACACUCAUGGACGAAAGCUAGGGGAGCGAAUGGGAUUAGAUACCCCAGUAGUCC